This 1168-nucleotide long non-coding RNA is filed under the name Struthio camelus australis. Its description in RNAcentral is "lncRNA (ENSSCUG00000011222.1)". Lineage: Eukaryota; Metazoa; Chordata; Aves; Struthioniformes; Struthionidae. The record is from RNAcentral.
CUGGUCUCUCGCCUAACUGCGACUCCGAGAUGCUGCUUUUUCCUGUCCCAGCCUCAUGUCUUAAUUGGCCCAUAGCUACCGGAGACAAACCAUGUACUUUCUGCUCAGAAGAAUCCCAGGAAAAAAAAGGGAUUACCUGAAAAUACAAAUGCAAGAAAGGUAUAGCACAAUUGAUUUGAAUGAUUCAUUUCUGAGAAAGUAAUACAAUUAAAAAUGGGUCCCACAGCUGCAGACUUCCUUUCCUCCUAUUCACUUCAGUCUCAGUCCCCCCACAAAAGCUACAGAUAAAAGCUGCAAAGACCAUGUGUCAAUCUUAAAUGUUCCCAGAGAAGAAAGGGGGCAGAAGAUCAAUCUACCUCAGGUGGAUAAACCACUGGAGAAAGUAUCAGGACUCAUCCAAGCCAUUGCUGCGGUGGAUAAAAGUAAAGUAACAACUGCUCACACUCCAUUUCUUAGUGCUCACUCGAACAGUUUGAAUGUGCCUUUUGAUGGUGCUAGAGAGAAUAAACUGGAAAACAAAUCCAAGUUAGAGUUACUCAUUUCAAAGAUCCCCUCAGAAGGAUUCACAGCUGAAGCACCCCAGGGUCCAGACUGUCCAAACUGCAAAAGGGAAAGAAGGAUCCGGAAGGAGUAUGACAAAUGCAUUUUGCAGUCAAAAAGAGACAAGGAGGCCUUGCAAGAAAGGAUCACGGAACUGGAAGCUGAACUGAAAAAACAUGCGGAACGUAACAAGCUACUUCAAGGCCGAGAGAAUGAAUUCGUCUGUUUUUCUCAGGACAGCUCAUUAAUUGAAAGAGAGGAGUCAAGAGCCCAGCUGGAAGGAACUUGGAAUGGGGAGGAGGCACAGACUCAGAGGACCAACGUGAAGCAAAGCAAGCUGUUUCUUGAAAUAGGAGAGUUAAAAUCCCAGCUCAAAAGGACAAAGAAAGGAGAAAAGGAAAAACUCUUCAUUCUGGAAAAUGAGAAGGAUGCCUGCCUGAAGGAAAUAGCAGAGCUGAAGGCCUGUGUUAAACGGAGGAUUUUCUACCCGAAGAAUUUGAAGGUUUUUGCAGGCCUUACAGGAGUUUUCUGUCUGAAGACAGAGGCCUCAUGUGAGAAUGGUGUGGAAAGUGCUCUGGGAAGCAGUGUGCUUAAAGGCCCUCAAUGUACUUGGACAUUCCCCCCCUAG